GGAAACAGAUGCUAAUACCGGAUAACAACAGAUGAUGCCUAUCAACUGUUUAAAAGAUGGUUCUGCUAUCACUCUUGGAUGGACCUGCGGUGCAUUAGCUAGUUGGUAGGGUAACGGCCUACCAAGGCGAUGAUGCAUAGCCGAGUUGAGAGACUGAUCGGCCACAUUGGGACUGAGACACGGCCCAAACUCCUACGGGAGGCAGCAGCG
RNAcentral lists this ribosomal RNA (210 nucleotides) under uncultured Lactobacillus sp. Its description in RNAcentral is "partial 16S ribosomal RNA". It matches the Rfam family "Bacterial small subunit ribosomal RNA", at positions 152 to 356 of the family's 1533-position model. Lineage: Bacteria; Bacillati; Bacillota; Bacilli; Lactobacillales; Lactobacillaceae. The record is from RNAcentral.